This 535-nucleotide ribosomal RNA is filed under the name Escherichia coli. RNAcentral describes it as "bacterial SSU rRNA". It matches the Rfam family "Bacterial small subunit ribosomal RNA", at positions 907 to 1442 of the family's 1533-position model. The record is from RNAcentral. RNAcentral also lists the same sequence under 1 other name. Lineage: Bacteria; Pseudomonadati; Pseudomonadota; Gammaproteobacteria; Enterobacterales; Enterobacteriaceae.
GAAUUGACGGGGGCCCGCACAAGCGGUGGAGCAUGUGGUUUAAUUCGAUGCAACGCGAAGAACCUUACCUGGUCUUGACAUCCACGGAAGUUUUCAGAGAUGAGAAUGUGCCUUCGGGAACCGUGAGACAGGUGCUGCAUGGCUGUCGUCAGCUCGUGUUGUGAAAUGUUGGGUUAAGUCCCGCAACGAGCGCAACCCUUAUCCUUUGUUGCCAGCGGUCCGGCCGGGAACUCAAAGGAGACUGCCAGUGAUAAACUGGAGGAAGGUGGGGAUGACGUCAAGUCAUCAUGGCCCUUACGACCAGGGCUACACACGUGCUACAAUGGCGCAUACAAAGAGAAGCGACCUCGCGAGAGCAAGCGGACCUCAUAAAGUGCGUCGUAGUCCGGAUUGGAGUCUGCAACUCGACUCCAUGAAGUCGGAAUCGCUAGUAAUCGUGGAUCAGAAUGCCACGGUGAAUACGUUCCCGGGCCUUGUACACACCGCCCGUCACACCAUGGGAGUGGGUUGCAAAAGAAGUAGGUAGCUUAACCUU